AGAAACCUUUGUGCAGUAACUUGAAACAAAUCUUUCCUUAUGAACACACUCAGGGUGGUUGCUGUCAGUUGCUGGCAGUGCUAAUGACUAUCACAAGGAUGUGUGUGUACUAAUGUUGUUGGUGGGGGUCACUGGCAUCUUAUAAACACAAGAGGGAGCCUCAAGUUUCUAAGGUGUAAACAUGUAGCUUAUAUUACCAUCUUCUCUAUCAUGAUCAUCAUCAUCAUCAUACUCUGGUCCCUUAACAUUACAUCUUGUCACCAGCUCAUAUUGAGGACAUUACAUAGUAAGUUAAGUAUUUUAAAAUGAUGUGUCAUUGAUACAAAAUUGUACAUACCCAUUUAUAAUAUUAAUUCACAUAUGUUUUACUUUGUUCCUAUUCAGGGUCCCAAAGGCAUGUUCGAAUCUAUCCCAGCAAACAUUGGAAAGAAGGCAGGGAAACACUCUGGACAGUCCAUCAUAACCCUUUUAAAAUAUGUACACAGGAAGUGGAAGAAGAAGAGGAAACUAGACCUGAGUGAGAUGGAACAUCCUCUAAUCCAUGACAACUGAUGGAAACAAAUAAAAGUUUGAGAGAUAGCUGAAGAUGCCGCGGGUCGCCUUCCACCCACCAUGUUUCCGCAGUAGCUCAGAAUGGACAAACUUUAUAGGGCUGUUCACGUUUUUUGCACAUUUUGUGGCCACUGUGGAUCCUACACGCUUGCAGUCUGCAACCAAACCGCUGGAUGCCCCUAAAUCCUACACACUGGACCUUCAAGACAUGAUGCUGAUUUCAUGAAAUGUCUUGACAUCAGGUUCUUACCUUCACCUUAUAUCCGCACUUGCCUGAAUGUGCUCACUUGACUUUUUAUGAAAUCCACAAAUGUGCAUCAUUCAACAACUGAGAAAAUAUUUUUGGUUUGAUAUAAAAAUGUGUUGUGGCUCUGGUGGCAGUAUACGCCACUCACAACUCAUUCCAUUUUUGGAUGACUGUAGUUUAAAACUCUAGCGAAAUAUGACCUAGGCCCCACCCUAAUCUUAAUGAAAUACUGUACUUUGAUAGUUUAACCUCAACCAGAGUUGUAGUAAACAAAACAUUAAAUGCCCUUAAUGUAAUCCAUGCAUUAAUAACAAAUACAUACCCACACGCGCACAUCAUUACUCAGCAACCACCUUUAACCUGACAUUGUUAUUAAGUGAGUUUCAGUACUGUGUUAUAUUCAUGUGAGAAUGUGAGUAUUGAGUUUUGCAUAUUUUUUCAGCAUAUGAUAAAUAGAAAAGUAGAGGAAU
Molecule: long non-coding RNA, 1269 nt
Organism: Dicentrarchus labrax (European seabass)
Lineage: Eukaryota; Metazoa; Chordata; Actinopteri; Moronidae
Exons: 3
Source: RefSeq, a predicted model, not a curated record